This is a long non-coding RNA of Vitis vinifera (wine grape), 1312 nucleotides long. RefSeq lists it as uncharacterized. Lineage: Eukaryota; Viridiplantae; Streptophyta; Magnoliopsida; Vitales; Vitaceae. The transcript is spliced from 4 exons. The record is from RefSeq and is a predicted model, not a curated record.
UUACCUCAAUAUGGAGCAACUGAAAAAGUGUCUGAUAUCUCUAUAUGCUCUAUACAAAUAAAAUCGAAAUUCAAAUUCUAUUUACAAGAAUGAACCUGAGUUCUGCUAAUUUCACGUUCUUCUUCAUCUUGGCUCUAACAGCCAACCAUUGGGAGAGUCACUCUCUUUGUGGUUGGGUCGUGUACCUUCUCUCAUUUUGAAGUAAAAGGAAAUGUGUUUUGCCCGGAGACUUUUAAAGUGACCACAAAGCUAUCAUAGAUUCGACUUGCAUUUAAAUUGUUUAUAUUCAUUUUACAUUUAACUCAAUGUAGAGUGGUUUUGUUUUCCAAUUGAUUUUUUUCUCUUCUUUUAGUACCCAAUGUUAAAAAUUUUGUUUUCAUGAACUGAAAGAUCUGUCUUUUCUUGUAACAGAUUAUUUUGGAUGGGCAAUUAUAAGCGUUUCCUUUGUACUACAGCAACUGAGGCAUCUUAUUUACAGUACUACAUUAUUGAACCUUACAUCAAUGAGGUUCGAGCAUUGGCAUUGUCAUGUGUAAAUUAUUGUGGCUACAAACUUCAUCCAUAUCCAAUUGCACACUUGUCCAAACUCUUGAUGAUGAAGGAAUUAGAUGUGGAAUCAUUUUUAAUGCUUGUGGUCUUGAGACCAGCACUAAUGAACGGUGAAAUAAGUUCUUAUCAACCAAGCAAACAAACUUCCAUUAUCCCAAGGAAGUCUUUCCAAGCUACUGCCUUCUGGGUUUGGAACACUUUUAGAGGUAACAAUCAAUUGGAACUAGUUACUCUUUCAAACUUCUUAUUGUACAAAUAUAACCUGCAUGUGCAACCAUUUCUGAUCCCAUAAUUUCAAGAAUUUAUGACACCUUCUAGUGGUUAGUUUUUAUGGGAAUAAAGUAAAGCAAUCUAUUCACUCCCAGAAACCAUCGUUAGAGGAACAGUAGAUAACCCCGCAAGACCAAAUUUAUGUGUGUGCAUGGAGAUGCAUGUUUUCUGCAUCCCAAUCAUGCAGUGUUGUGUCAAAUGGAAUAAUAGCAGUUGAUGAUAAGUGGUAUUUCUAAAAUCUUCUAAGAGUAUUCCAUCUAUUGUAAUAUUGUUUUCUCAAAAUUGUCUUUGAGUCUUAUGUGUAAAUAUUAGAAUUGACCUCUUGUAAGCUAUCAACUAAUGUUGUAACUUAACUUGAAAGGGAAAUUCUAUAAAUUUAGCCUUGGUUUGGCUCUUGGAAAGCAAAGAAAAAUUAGGUUAAUAGUGAGUUGAUUUCUUCCCUUCCCAUGGAUGUAAGCACAUUCUUGAAUCAUGUUAAUUAUUUUUUGGUUUA